This 640-nucleotide ribosomal RNA is filed under the name Lactobacillaceae bacterium. RNAcentral describes it as "bacterial SSU rRNA". It matches the Rfam family "Bacterial small subunit ribosomal RNA", at positions 67 to 679 of the family's 1533-position model. The record is from RNAcentral. Lineage: Bacteria; Bacillati; Bacillota; Bacilli; Lactobacillales; Lactobacillaceae.
AUGAUUUUAGUGCUUGCACUAAAUGAAAGCUAGAUACAAGCGAGCGGCGGACGGGUGAGUAACACGUGGGUAACCUGCCCAAGAGACUGGGAUAACACCUGGAAACAGAUGCUAAUACCGGAUAACAACACUAGACGCAUGUCUAGAGUUUGAAAGAUGGUUCUGCUAUCACUCUUGGAUGGACCUGCGGUGCAUUAGCUAGUUGGUAAGGUAACGGCUUACCAAGGCAAUGAUGCAUAGCCGAGUUGAGAGACUGAUCGGCCACAUUGGGACUGAGACACGGCCCAAACUCCUACGGGAGGCAGCAGUAGGGAAUCUUCCACAAUGGACGAAAGUCUGAUGGAGCAACGCCGCGUGAGUGAAGAAGGGUUUCGGCUCGUAAAGCUCUGUUGGUAGUGAAGAAAGAUAGAGGUAGUAACUGGCCUUUAUUUGACGGUAAUUACUUAGAAAGUCACGGCUAACUACGUGCCAGCAGCCGCGGUAAUACGUAGGUGGCAAGCGUUGUCCGGAUUUAUUGGGCGUAAAGCGAGUGCAGGCGGUUCAAUAAGUCUGAUGUGAAAGCCUUCGGCUCAACCGGAGAAUUGCAUCAGAAACUGUUGAACUUGAGUGCAGAAGAGGAGAGUGGAACUCCAUGUGUUAG